RNAcentral lists this long non-coding RNA (5077 nucleotides) under Canis lupus familiaris (dog). Its description in RNAcentral is "lncRNA (ENSCAFG00030022355.1)". Lineage: Eukaryota; Metazoa; Chordata; Mammalia; Carnivora; Canidae. The record is from RNAcentral.
AUGUUAUCAGGUGAGAUCUACACGGAGGAGAAACCACCAGCCACCGUGAAGGAAAGGGUCCCAGCCUGGACCAGCACGAAGGUGCCCGCCAGCUACCCCUCUCUCUCUCUGGUUUCUGCUGGGCCUCCUGAUGGCCAGCCCCACGCAACCCUGAGGGAAGAGAGCCCUCCUGGAGUAGUCCUCACGGGCAGCAGCCAGGGCCAGACAGCAGGUGCAGAAGGGCAGAGAGUGAAUUUGAGGAUCAAGUGGAAGAUCCCAGGCCUAAGAGUACACCUGCCCUACAGAAUCUUGGCAACGAUGGACGGAGAUGAUAUACGGGACACACUAGAAAUAGUGUCUAGUGCUCAAAAAUUAUUACCUGUUGUUAUUUUAACACAUGCAUUUAUUUAUCCAAUAAAUGUUCAUUGGGAACUUCGUGGCUCUAGCCACCGUGUGAACAUGAACGGUGCUCCAGGGAGGCUCGCCACCCAGCUGCGCUCCUAAGAGGUAAACAUGGAGCGGACCUCGCAGGAGAAGCCCUAGUUGUAUCUAAGGUUGGGGUUCAGAUGUGUCUGGAGAAGUCCGGCAAGCUGGUGUGGGAGAGAGCUUUGGCCUCUCUUUUUAAGUGACUCUUAGGGUCUUGUUGGGCAGCGGCAUGCUCCGACGGGAGAAGCAGAGGCCCACGAAGGCUGUGCAGUGACCGAGCUCCAGCCGUCAGAAGGCCAGGCAGGGGGGUCCCUGGGUGGCACAGCGGUUUAGUGCCUGCCUUUGGCCCAGGGCGCGAUCCUGGAGACCCGGGAUCGAAUCCCACAUCGGGCUCCCGGUGCUGCUUCUCCCGCUGCCUGUGUCUCUGCCCCUCUCUCUCUCUCUCUGUGUGACUAUCACAAAAUAAAUAAAUAAAUAAAUAAAUAAAUAAAUAAAUAAAUAAAUAAAUAAAUAAUAAAAAGAAGGCCGGGGUGAGGGGGGCGCAGCACAGUGUCUGCCAAGUCAACUGAUCGCCUGGCCAGACUUCCAGAACUUUGGGCGGAGUCCUUGAUAAUGAAGUUAGGGAAGCUGCCAAGGAAAACGAACUAAGAUCUCACAGGUGCCGAAGGCCCAAGUGGACAGCGGAAGUAAAUAUCUAUCAUAUAUAUAUUUGUGCGCACAGAUGGAGCACGAAUAUGGCAAAAUGCAAACAGCUGUUAGAUCCAGGUGCAGGGCAUAAGGGCAUAAAUUCAAGUAUUUGAUCAGCAUUUCCGUGUCACUUUGUCAUAACAGGAAGUUGGAGGAGACUUCUCCUGCAUGUGUGGGGCCAAACCAAGGGGGAAAAAAUCAUAUUUAAAGAAUGGAAUUCCCUUGAAAUCUGUAGAUCCGACCACAACCUCAGGAGCCUCUCCGUGUGAGCACGGCGAUUUCCUAGUAACGUAAGUCAGAGGAGUCGUCGGUACGGAAACUUUAGAAAGAACAGUGAUAAAGAAAUAUUUUCAAUAGUUUACAGCAAAAAAAAAAAAAAAGUCACAAGGAUAUUCAGUGUAGGAAGUGGGUAUGUGUUCACAGGUUUUAUAAAAUGUGAGAUGCAACUUACAAAACCACCUGUGAGUUUAUGAAAACCGACCCGGCUGAACCCAGACUCGAACGGGCUGCGCUUCAUCUGACUGCCCUGCGCCUCCCGUGUCUCAGCUGUACCCUCUGGGUUCCCAAGGUAUUAAAGAAGUGUCACUAUUCACUGGACCACAAGUGAAGGGGAGCCGUGGGGCGCCGUCCACCAGCGCGUCACCUGGGCCCCGGCGGGCCUCCACGGGCAAGGCAUCACGAUGUGCCCAUUGUGUGGAGACGCUAAGCUGAGGGCCUGGGGUAGUUCGGUGGCCCGAGCCCACACUGGGGUCCAGAUGAAGGUGGGCCGCGGCCUGCAGCCGCCUGGGGAGGUCACGGGCACCUGUAGACUCCCGCGUGGGAUGGUACGGCAGGGAGAAGGUCGUGGCCAGCAGCUGGGCAAGGUGGACACUUCGCCACUGGGGUCUUUUCAGCGGCCUGGGCCUAAGACGGCUCCCCUAGGUGUCACCUACAUGGUUUGGUCGCAGGGACAGGGGCCCAGGGCUGGUCACCCCUGCUUGCCCUGCUGAGUGCCCGAAGCCAGCAGCCGGGAUGCUGUCACCGGCCCUGUCCCCGACACCGCGCAGGCUGGCAUCGCACCCUGGUGCCGGGAGCUCGGCUGGGCUCGCCCGCCCUGGCCCCAGGCCCCUUGCUUGUCCUUUCUGCGGCUGCUGCACAGUCACCCCUGGCUGUUCAGCUCUGGCCUCGGAGCCGCACCCCCCCAGCAGGCCCCCGCGGAGUACCUGCCUCAUCGGCCUCCCAGUUCCUACCCGUCGGGGAGCAGGCCGGGGAAUCGCUCGCCCCUCUGGCCAAAACGUUGUGCCUCUCCAUGCCCGUGCGCAUGUGCAUGUGUGUGCGUGUGCACACAGGACACAUGCAGAAGCACGGGAGCACGGACUGGGAGGCACACGGGUGAGCACGCUUUUCUCAGUCUUUUUGUCGUUGUCAGGUCGUCAGUCUAGCAGAUGAGGCUCACGCACGUCAGGAUGGAUGAUCCGCGUGCCUCAGUCUACCCGUCCGAACGUGAACUCCAUCCCCAAACGACCUUCCCUGGACGACCGCCCGGCCGCAAGUGUGGGCCCCGGGUGACAAGGUGCAGACACCAGAGCCACCCACCACGGUGGGCCUCGUGCUUUUCUUUAGCUUUGGUCGCUUGGCCAUGUCCUGUGCGUCCAGACACAGACUUCAUACAUCCAAGCUCUUUCUGCCAGAGGAGGUCUUGGCAACUGGGAGGGGUGUCUGGGGGGGGCGCGGGGGCUGUCUUGGUUCCAGCCUCCCCCUCCCUGGUGUGACCUAGUCUGUGACCAGACGAGCAGCCUCCGUGGCCAUCGCUGGCACCACCUGCGGCACUGGGCGGCCCGGAUGGGGGCCCCCACACCACUCCACUGCUCCCACACCGCCCGGCUUCUCGGUUUCCCUGUCCCUUCAGGACUUGUCCCUAUGUUGAGUUCAGGUAGACUGUGCGUUGAAUCCCGAGCAACUGCUACCUCUCGUCUGGCACUUUCUAUGUCAUAGACAGAGCUGCGGAGUUGCCACACCUGCCAGCCGUUGCCACCUCACAUUUAAAAACAUUCCUUUAGGGGUAUCCGGGGGCCCAGGGCGAGACCCCGGGGUCCCAGGAUCGAGUCCCAUGUUGGGCUCCCCGCACGGAGCCUGCUUCUCCCUCUGCCUGGGUCUCUGCCUCUCUCUGUGUGUCUCAGGAAUAAAUAACUAAAAUCUCUAAAAUAAAUAAAAAUAAUAAAAACAUUCCUUUAUACUUAAGGCAAACGAUAGUGAUUUUCCAUUUUUUGUAAUGAUAACAACGUUCACUUCUAAAAUAAUCUGAUUUAGAGAAACAGCAAAUAACUAUCACAGCAGGUGCUACUCAGAUGUGACUAAUCUCAGGAGAGAAGCAGGUAAAUGGGGGACAGGAGUCUAGCGCUCUGCUGGCCUACAGUGAGCCCGCAGUGAACACUUGAUGAUUAAAUGAGUAAAUAGGAAAAAAUACUACGCUUGUCAAGAGUUUUCCAUCUUCAUCAACUGCACAUGCCUCAGGAGCAAUGCUGUCCACGCUAUGAAAUUCUUCGAGAAUUUUCUUCAUCGACAUUAGACAUUUAAUCAGCUGUGUUGGGGUGUCCGGGGGUCAGGCAGUGAGCGUCUGCCUUCGGCUCAGGGCAUGACCCCGGGGUCCUGGGAUGGAGCCCCACGUCGGGCCCCCUGCUCAGCGGAGCAUCUGCUUCUCCCUCUCUCCAACACCCCCUUGUGCUCUCUCCCUCUAGCUUUCACUGUCUCUCUCAAAUAAAUAAAAUCUUUAAAAAUAAAAAUAAAAAUAAAUCACUGAAAACUAUCUACAAUGCGAUGUCUUUUAUAAGCAUGAAUAUUUGUUUACUGCUUAAUCCAGAUAAGUAACUUGCAUGAAAUGAAAGACGGGCAAAAUGUGUCUACAGUGAAAAGCAGAACAGUGGUUGAGCUUGGGGCGCGGUGGACCGGAAGGAGGCGUGAUGGGAACUUUCAGGGGUGAUGCAAAUGCUUCUCUCCCGACUGGAGUGUUGGAUUAAAAAAAUAAUAAUUUGUCAAAAUGCACCUAAUUGUUCAAUAAAAACCUAGUUAAAUUAUGUAAAUUUAAUUUCACUUACAAAAAAAAACAUUAAUAGAGCUAAAUUAAAAGAAAACAGAGCGGGGGGUUCCAACAGAAUUUUCUGUAGUAAUAGAGAAAUUCUUUGUGCCGUGCAGUGGGCUGGCCACCGACCCGGCCUCAUUUGACAACUGAGCACUUGAUAGGCGCCCACUGCAACUGAGCAACUAAAUGUUUCACACCACUUAAUUUUAAUUAGUUUAAAUGUAAGUUGAUCUGUAAACGUGUGGCUAGGGGCUGCCACACUAACAGCACGUUUUUGGUCUCCCUCCCAGUGACCCACUGGAAUCACCUAAACAGCUCUAAAAAUAGACCCAAGCCCAGCCCCCAUCCCACACCGGUUAGGUCAGGGCCUGAAGCUGCUGUGGUCCAGGCACUGACAUUUUUGAUUAGGGGAAGCUUACUCCAUUCUUUAGUGUUAUCUUUUUAAUACAAAAUAGACAAAUAAGAAAGGCCUUGUAGGCUAGGUAUCAAACUAAGCAGUGUUUCACUGGUAAACGCCAUAAAAGAUCUGGUUAUUUAUUCAAGACCACUGUCCCGGUCGUAAAUCUCCUGGAUAAAUUCACACGAAUUUUGUAGGAUUUCAUUUGUUUCCUUGGAUGGGUUUCAGUAUCAGCGGUUUCCCCUCUCCUGGGUCGUUUCAUCCUCACACAUGCUCGGAAAUGGCAGGACAGAAACUCAGCAUCACCAGUUGGCGAGUGAAGACCCAGGGAGGUGAAAUGAUCUGCGGGCGGUCACGUGAUUUGACGAGGGGCAAAUUAAAAGUCAGGCCUUCUAAUGGUUCGUACUGUGUUAUUUUUAUUCCACCGUGAGACAAACAACUAUUAAAGUGAAAUGAAUUAAUACAGUGUUAAGGCUGGAAAUUCUUUCCCUACUUGUGUUUACAUUCACAGUUCUAAAUAUGGAGAAUGG